Molecule: non-coding RNA, 30 nt
Filed under: Homo sapiens (human)
Lineage: Eukaryota; Metazoa; Chordata; Mammalia; Primates; Hominidae
Source: RNAcentral
GCCAUUCUUAUGCCUUUGCAUCCUCAUAGC